AGUCUUCGGACCUCGCGCUAUUGGAUGAGCCUGCGUCGGAUUAGCUUGUUGGUGAGGUAAAGGCUCACCAAGGCGACGAUCCGUAGCUGGUCUGAGAGGAGUGAUCAGCCACACGUGGGACUGAGACACCGGCCCAGACUCCGUACGGGAGCAGCAGGUGGGGAAUAUUGCGCAAUGGGGGCAACCCUGACGCAGCCAUGCCGCGUGUGUGAAGAAGGCCCUAGGGUUGUAAAGCACUUUCAAUAGGGAGAAAAGGCCCACGGUUAAUACCCGUGGGAGUUGAUGUUACCUAUAGAAGAAGCACCGGCUAACUCCGUG
Molecule: ribosomal RNA, 318 nt
Filed under: uncultured bacterium
Lineage: Bacteria
Description: bacterial SSU rRNA
Rfam family: Bacterial small subunit ribosomal RNA
Source: RNAcentral